UAUCAAGGAUAUCCGGUGCCGAAGCAAACGCAUUAAGUAUACCACCUGGGGAGUACGUUCGCAAGAAUGAAACUCAAAGGAAUUGACGGGGACCCGCACAAACGGUGGAGCAUGUGGUUUAAUUCGAAGCAACGCGAAGAACCUUACCAGGCCUUGACAUCCUGAUGACGCGGGCGUAACGGUCCGUUCCCCUCGGGGCAUCAGAGACAGGUGGUGCAUGGUUGUCGUCAGCUCGUGUCGUGAGAUGUUGGGUUAAGUCCCGCAACGAGCGCAACCCUUAUUCCCAGUAGCCAGCAUUUUGGAUGGGCACUCUGGGGAGACUGCCGGGGAAGACCCGGAGGAAGGCGGGGAUGACGUCAAAUCAUCAUGCCCCUUAUGGCCUGGGCUACACACGUGCUACAAUGGCGCAUACAAAGGGAGGCGAAGGAGCGAUCUGAAGCAAAUCCCAGAAAAGGCGCCCCAGUUCGGAUUGCAGCCUGCAACUCGGCUGCAUGAAGCUGGAAUCGCUAGUAAUCGCGGAUCAGAAUGCCGCGGUGAAUACGUUCCCGGGUCUU
RNAcentral lists this ribosomal RNA (554 nucleotides) under uncultured bacterium. Its description in RNAcentral is "bacterial SSU rRNA". It matches the Rfam family "Bacterial small subunit ribosomal RNA", at positions 828 to 1382 of the family's 1533-position model. The record is from RNAcentral.